UAAACAAAUCGCUAGUCAAAUUAAAAAUGAUCAUAGAUUAGCUAAUUUUCGGCUGAUUAAUGUAUCAGAAACUCAAACUGAUUUGACAUCCAUGCUAAAUUAACAGCAGUGUUAGUUGAUCAGUGAUUUGACAGACCUUUCAGAAACCGGGGGUAAAUCUUUUAGUCUUAUGUCCCC
Molecule: long non-coding RNA, 177 nt
Organism: Aricia agestis (brown argus)
Lineage: Eukaryota; Metazoa; Arthropoda; Insecta; Lepidoptera; Lycaenidae
Exons: 3
Source: RefSeq, a predicted model, not a curated record